CACACACACGCAUGUGCGCUCACACACAAAUAUGCAUGUGCACACACAUGCAUACACACACACACACACAUGCACGUGUCCGCACACACAAACAUGCACGUGCACACACACGCAUAGACACACACACGUCUCUCGCACACGAACAAACACAUUCACCAGUGCACUCUCACACGCACACACAUGCAUGCACACACAUUCACAAAUUCACACACACAAACACACUCUCACCCAAUCACACACACACACUCAUCGACACACUUGCAACCUUCCUUGACCAAUGCCUUACCAGUGCAAUUUCAGCUGUGCCCAAUAUUAUAUAUAUAUAUCCUUAGUACAGCCUAACCCCUGUACAUAAGAGUAUUAUCUUUUAGCAGUUCAGGUUAAGCACUUGCUGUCUAAAUGUGAUUUUUUUACAUUUUAAUACAUUUAUAUUGCAAAUGUUCAAGGUGUGUUUAUGUACUUUUAUUAAAACAUUAAUAUAACAUUGAGAGUAAUAAUGCCAAAAGAUGGCAGGGUAAAAUGUUUUUGAAGUAAUAAUUCUAUCUCCUGUAUCUGCAUAUUUUUUAAAAGAAUCCAGUGGCAAACUCCUCCAGUUAAAUGUGCAUUUUACUAGUUUUUACAGUUGCUUUCAUUAAUUUUCACAAGAGUUCCAAUGUGCAAAUUUCUGUUGGCAAAUGCAGCUGAUAGGGAGAAUGCAGAAUGAUCACUGCAGUGUACUUAUUUCCUUUCAUUACUGUAAACAAUGAUGGAUUGAGUUUCCUUACUAAUUCUUUUAGGAUUGUUUUUUUGUUUUGUUUGUUUUUUGCUUUAAUUUUCUGUAUUUUCAGACAAUAAUAUGCAAUGAUUAAACCUGAAUUAUAAACAUAU
Long non-coding RNA from Anguilla rostrata (American eel), 867 nucleotides. RefSeq lists it as uncharacterized. The record is from RefSeq and is a predicted model, not a curated record. Lineage: Eukaryota; Metazoa; Chordata; Actinopteri; Anguilliformes; Anguillidae. The transcript is spliced from 2 exons.